This 494-nucleotide ribosomal RNA is filed under the name uncultured bacterium. RNAcentral's name for it is "partial 16S ribosomal RNA". It matches the Rfam family "Bacterial small subunit ribosomal RNA", at positions 28 to 506 of the family's 1533-position model. The record is from RNAcentral.
GACGAACGCUGGCGGCGUGCCUAAUACAUGCAAGUAGAACGCUGAAGGAGGAGCUUGCUUCUCUGGAUGAGUUGCGAACGGGUGGGUAACGCGUAGGUAACCUGCCUGGUAGCGGGGGAUAACUAUUGGAAACGAUAGCUAAUACCGCAUAAGAGUAGAUGUUGCAUGACAUUUGCUUAAAAGGUGCAAUUGCAUCACUACCAGAUGGACCUGCGUUGUAUUAGCUAGUUGGUGAGGUAACGGCUCACCAAGGCAACGAUACAUAGCCGACCUGAGAGGGUGAUCGGCCACACUGGGACUGAGACACGGCCCAGACUCCUACGGGAGGCAGCAGUAGGGAAUCUUCGGCAAUGGACGGAAGUCUGACCGAGCAACGCCGCGUGAGUGAAGAAGGUUUUCGGAUCGUAAAGCUCUGUUGUAAGAGAAGAACGAGUGUGAGAGUGGAAAGUUCACACUGGGACGGUAUCUUACCAGAAAAGGACGGCUAACUACGU